AGAUUGAACGCUGGCGGCAUGCCUAACACAUGCAAGUCGAACGGCAGCGCGGGGGCAACCCUGGCGGCGAGUGGCGGACGGGUGAGGAAUACAUGGGGAUCUACCCUGUCGUGGGGGAUAACGUAGGGAAACUUACGCUAAUACCGCAUACGACCGAGAGGUGAAAGCGGCGGACCGCAAGGCGUCGCGCGACUGGAUGAGCCCAUGUCCGAUUAGCUAGUUGGCGGGGUAAGAGCCCACCAAGGCGACGAUCGGUAGCUGGUCUGAGAGGAUGAUCAGCCACACUGGAACUGAGACACGGUCCAGACUCCUACGGGAGCAGCAGGUGGGGAAUAUUGG
This 339-nucleotide ribosomal RNA is filed under the name uncultured soil bacterium. RNAcentral describes it as "bacterial SSU rRNA". It matches the Rfam family "Bacterial small subunit ribosomal RNA", at positions 26 to 367 of the family's 1533-position model. The record is from RNAcentral.